GAUGAAGAACGCAGCGAAAUGCGAUACUUGGUGUGAAUUGCAGAAUCCCGUGAACCAUCGAGUCUUUGAACGCAAGUUGCGCCCGAAGCCGUCAGGCCGAGGGCACGCCUGCCUGGGCGUCACACGCCGUUGCCCCCCCGCGCCCCGCACCCAACUCUUUGGGAGCGACCGCGGGGCGGGCUGAUGAUGGCCUCCCAUGCGCUCCGCCGCGCGGUUGGCCCAAAUACCGAGUCCCCGGCGACGUGCGCCACGACGAUCGGUGGUUGAGAGACCUCUGUCGCAAGUCGUGCGCGCCCGUCGCGUCACGCGGGCUCGCAUAGCGCCUCGCGCCGCACCCGGUGCGGAGCUUUCAACGCGACCCCAGGUCAGGCGGGGUUACCCGCUGAAUUUAAGCAUAUCAAUAAGCGGAGGA
RNAcentral lists this unclassified non-coding RNA (412 nucleotides) under soil metagenome. RNAcentral describes it as "partial contains 5.8S ribosomal RNA, internal transcribed spacer 2, and large subunit ribosomal RNA". The stretch from base 1 to 122 matches the Rfam family "5.8S ribosomal RNA", at positions 35 to 154 of the family's 154-position model. The record is from RNAcentral.